UUCAUAUUUAAGUUUCAAGUACAAUGCUGUCAAUAUUAUAACUACAUAAAUCUCAAAUAAUUUGUUUCUAUUCAUGGGUCAUCAGUUCCAUCUAGCGGUGAAUUAAUAGCAACGCAACACGUGGUGGAUGACUGUAGUUGUCAAGUAUCCUUCCUUUGAAGAGAGAAUGUAGUCAAUUAUUUCUUUGAAUUGAAUUUUUUUGGGGUUCAUUUUAAAGAGGAUCUGUUUUUUCUCUGGCUUUCUUCGGUUCUAUUGAAGCUUCAGUCGUCUUCGUUUUCACAUUGGUGCUCUCAGACUUAAAUGCUUUGCAUUAUGAAUAGUAUUUUGAGUACUACCUAUAGUAGCACUAUAGUGGUACCAUAUAGUUUCACUGACUUUAGGUGGCCUGUUAUUACAAGUGAACAAGGUCACAGUGAAGGUCAAAACAGUGAUGGGGAAACCUUUGUUCUCAAAAUACCAGGCUAAGGAAACCACUAACUACUAAAAGUAGCGUGUUAGGAACACCAUGUUCAGGUGGUUCAUUUAACCAUAUCCACGGUAAUCACAGGGAGAGGGGAUGUCACUGGUACUCGCAGAUGUUUGGACCUCUCCCUCCAGUCCUUAUGGACCAGGGGAUUCUGACCAUGAGGGAUGUAGGGAGACUCUUAAACCAGGUUUACAAAGUUUUUAUAAAAAGUCAGAGUGGACUCUCAGUCACCCUGCUUAUUGUUUCUGAAGGAAGCUGAAUAUUUACAUCUGGACUUACCUUCAACAUACAAUGUUUUUUUUUCUUGACAGCCCAGAUUGACCAAAUACGAAAACAGCUGUGUCAACUUUUCAAGCAAGUACUAGAUACGACUUUAUGAAAGUGUUGUGUUUAAUAGUGAAACAAACCAAAGGCAAAUUCCAGUUCUUGCAAUAUCAAUAAACCGAUCCAUGUAUGAAAGGGACCGAAUGAUUGUACUUGGUUGAGGAGCUUUGAUGUAGAGGGUCUUGCCUGAGAAUUGAACCUGCAACUGUCUGGUUGAAAGACAAACCCUGUGCCCACAGUCCAUGAUUAAAAGACUUUUUGAUACUGAUUCCACUUGAAUGUUGUAACUGCUUAAAGAAAAGAGUUUGGAUUUUCCAGGGAAAAAAAAGAAAAAGAAAAACACAACUAGAUAUUCCAUUUGAACCAGAUGAAAUAUCAUUCCAUGCCAACGCAGAGGUUUCUGGGAUGGCAUCAUAUCAUCUCAUCAAAUCCAUAACACAUUUUCCCAGUCGUGACAGCUGCUUUUGAUUUUAGGUAGUGGAGAGCUGUUCUCACAGUGUCCUCCCUGGUAUUUGAAAACAUCCUUAUGUAAUGUUAAAACCCAUUUCACAGUUAUUUUCACUUUGUUUCUCCUAUCGCGGUAGUUGCGCUCCAAGACCCACCGCGAAAAGGGAAAAUCCGCAAGGAAGGACCGAGAUGGUUUUUAUAUUAUUUCCGUAUAUAUUUACACUCCACGAACCUCCACCACACUGUUAUCAACCCUCUCUAGAUUGUUUCACCCAUCCCCACACAGUAGAGUUGUAUUAUGGAAAUGUUAGACAUGCAUAUUACGUAAAUAAAUUAAAUACAACACCCGGCGGAGGUUUUCGCUAAGCCGCAGGAGAGACAGCACGGCGACGUAGUAGCAACACAGUCCAGGCCGCAGGUGUGCGCAAUUGGAGUAAUCAAGCCGGGACCAAGGAGAGUGAACAGAAGCAGGGUUUGAGCGGCUGCAGCUUGAGGCCUUCACUGUCUGAGGAAGCCUCGAAAAUAGAAAUAGCCAAAGCCCUGCAAUUAUUCCAUCUGAGGCCUUGAAAUAUGGAUGACAGAAACGGGCUGUCAGAUGGCAGAUCUGGCCUUUUCUCAGAAACCACCACCACCACCAUUACCAGCACCUUCACCAGCACAUCUCCACCCUCCAGUAUGUGUGGCUCCUGCUACUAAAACCUGUAAUCACCAAAUGUUCCGAAUAAAA
Cynoglossus semilaevis (tongue sole) is the source of this 1964-nucleotide long non-coding RNA. RefSeq lists it as uncharacterized. The record is from RefSeq and is a predicted model, not a curated record. The transcript has 3 exons. Lineage: Eukaryota; Metazoa; Chordata; Actinopteri; Pleuronectiformes; Cynoglossidae.